UACGUAGGUGGCAGGCGUUGUCCGGAUUUACUGGGUGUAAAGGGCGUGCAGCCGGAGAGACAAGUCAGAUGUGAAAUCCACGGGCUCAACCCGUGAACUGCAUUUGAAACUGUUUCCCUUGAGUGUCGGAGAGGUAAUCGGAAUUCCUUGUGUAGCGGUGAAAUGCGUAGAUAUAAGGAAGAACACCAGUGGCGAAGGCGGAUUACUGGACGAUAACUGACGGUGAGGCGCGAAAGCGUGGGGAGCAAACAGG
Molecule: ribosomal RNA, 253 nt
Filed under: uncultured bacterium
Lineage: Bacteria
Description: partial 16S ribosomal RNA
Rfam family: Bacterial small subunit ribosomal RNA
Source: RNAcentral